CUGCCCUCAAGCACGGCUUGUGGGUUGGGCCCCGCCCGCUGUGGCCGGCCCUAAAGACAGUGGCGGCGCCGCCUGGCCCUCAGCGUAGUACAUCUCUCGCUCCAGGGUCCGGUGGCCGCCUGCCAGAACCCCCCAACUCUGU
RNAcentral lists this unclassified non-coding RNA (142 nucleotides) under uncultured Oidiodendron. RNAcentral's name for it is "sequence contains ITS2". Lineage: Eukaryota; Fungi; Ascomycota; Leotiomycetes; Myxotrichaceae. The record is from RNAcentral.